GCAAAGGGGGUUUAUAGUCAAAUUUCCCAUAAAUUUUUGGUGACAAAUUUGGUCUCAGCUGAUCAUCUGCCGCUCUGGCGUUCACUCACGGCCUUUCACGCAUUGUCAUGUUGAGGCUUUCUUGUGAGUGCUUAUGGCUUACUCUGAUGUACUGAGAUUCUUGUUGGCGGCUGUUAUUUGGUGUGGAACAUAUGCUUUUGUUGCUGCUAUUUGGGUUUUCCAAGAUAUCUUCCGUACUUCCAUUUUGAAUUGGUAGAGAAUUUUUUUUAAGGCUAUCAUGGGUUACGCGCAGCUAGUUAUUCGCCCUGCUGGAAGUGGGAAGUCUACAUAUUGCUCUAGUCUGUACAAACAUUGCGAAACUAUGAGGAGAACAAAUCAUAUUGUGAACUUAGAUCCUGCUGCUGAAAGUUUCGAUUAUCCUGUUACCAUGGAUAUCAGGGAACUCAUUUCUUUGGAUGAUGUUAUGGGGGAGCUUGGACUUGGUCCAAACAGUGGCCUUAUCUACUGCAUGGAGCACCUUGAAGAAAAUUUGGAUGAUUGGCUAACUGAAGAAUUGGAUAACUACUUGGACGAUGAUUAUUUAGUUUUUGACUGCCCAGGCCAGAUGGAACUUUUUUCACACAUUCCUGUCCUUAAAAAUUUUGUGGAACAUUUAAAGCGCAAGAACUUCAAUGUUUGUGUUGAGUAUUUGCUUGAUUCACAGUUCGUGACUGAUGUGACAAAGUUUAUAAGUGGUUGCAUGGCUUCACUUUCUGCAAUGGUCCAAAUUGAGGUACCCCAUGUCAAUAUUCUCUCCAAAAUGGACCUCGUGACAAACAAAAGAACCAUUGAAGAUUACUUGAAUCCAGAGCCUCGAGUUUUGCUGUCACAGUUGAAUCAACGCAUGGCUCCACAAUUUGAAAAACUUAACAAAGCUUUGAUUGAAUUGUUGUAACAGGUCGAUCAAUAUAGCAUGGUAAGAUUUGUGCCUCUGGACUCGAGGAAAGAGAGCAGAUAAUCAGAGUUUAAUGGUGCUGUAAACUUGGCACUCGGAGAAGUAGGUAGAAAUGUAGUUCUCUUAAUUUCUACAUACUACAAUUCAACGACAUCAGAUAUUUUGAAGGAUGAAGAGUUGCUGCUAUCCUGUAUGAUAUUGUGUUUGAGAUGAGCUUGUACUUAUUUACACUUAGCUAGAGUAGUAGAUGAAACUGCUAAUGAGCUUUAUAGUAAUGAUCAGUUUGGAUCAAUUGAGAACUCGACAUGAAAUUUAUCUCCAAAUUACUAGAUACUAUUAAAUUUUCUAAUAAAUUAAAGCCACCUUUAUACAGGUGUAACAGUUUUAUGGACAAGCAGAGAGAGAGAGAGGUUGUUUGGUACAAUUUAUAGAUAGUUUGUUUCAUUUUCGGAGUGCGUAUCAGAAUUGGUGCAAUUUCUUAUUCUUACAGAGAUUAGAGGGCUAGUUUUGGUGCAAUUUCAAGAUAGUAAAAUUUAAAUACGUUGCAACAAAAAUAUCUAAAAAUUGAGAAAACGAUAUUUUCACUUUUGGCUUUCUAAUUAUUUUCAUCUCGAGGAAAACUACAGAAAACAGGCUCAAAGAGUCACUCCAUAGACAGUUAAACAAUCAAACCUGAAAAUUAUGUAAUGCCAAAUUGAUCUUGUUCAGCCCAAAAAAAUGAAAAAAUUCAAACAACUGUAGUAAUUAAACUUUCUUUAAAAACCGCAGGCCAGUUGAACAAAGCACAAUUUGUUCUGUACUGCACAUGUUUUUCCAUCCCAAUAAGAAAAUGAGCAUGGAAUUUACUUUCCCACCUCAAUUAAUUUUGCUUGGAAAUAUAAAGAAAUUAAAACACUAAAAAAUUAACCUCCUAUUAUUCAACUCUCAUUAAUACUGCCCCAUUACCUCCAAUUUUUCCCAUCCCAUCAAAGGACGACAAAAAACAAAAAAAGAAAGCAAAAUGCAAAAUGCAAAAUGCAAAAUGCAAAA
Molecule: RNA transcript, 1963 nt
Organism: Camellia sinensis
Lineage: Eukaryota; Viridiplantae; Streptophyta; Magnoliopsida; Ericales; Theaceae
Gene name: GPN-loop GTPase 3
Source: RefSeq, a predicted model, not a curated record